This is a long non-coding RNA of Dioscorea cayenensis subsp. rotundata (Guinea yam), 436 nucleotides long. RefSeq lists it as uncharacterized. Lineage: Eukaryota; Viridiplantae; Streptophyta; Magnoliopsida; Dioscoreales; Dioscoreaceae. The transcript has 3 exons. The record is from RefSeq and is a predicted model, not a curated record.
GCAAGCUUUUUCAAUCAGAGCCAUUGAUUUAAAAGAUUUUAAAACCCUUGCUCUUAUCCUUACGGUUACCAAAUAUCACGAUCUGAUUGCAGCUCCACCGCCACGAUCUCUUAUAAUAAAAAAAAAAAACCCUAGCCCUCUUUUCCUUUAUUUCAUGGUGGUGUCGGUGGCAAGGACAAGUGGAUCUUCUUCUCGAGAGUUGUUUUGCUUCUUUCAAGAUCAGGAGUAGAGGUCAGUGGCAGAUAGCUUAGCAAGGAUCGUUGGGCCAUCGCCGUUUUAUUUAGCUUGAUUUGAGGCCUUAUAUGCCUACUUGGUUUCGGUCUUGUAGGUGUACGGUCGUUUGUCAGCAUCCCGGGUCCAUAAAGCUGGGUUCGGGGCGUGACAGACUUACCCACAUUGUCACCAAAAAAAAAAGUUUUAGGUGUCAAAAAUUACA